AACGCGAAGAACCUUACCUGGGUUUGACAUACACCGGAUCGCCGCAGAGAUGCGGUUUCCCUUGUGGUCGGUGUACAGGUGGUGCAUGGCUGUCGUCAGCUCGUGUCGUGAGAUGUUGGGUUAAGUCCCGCAACGAGCGCAACCCUUGUCUUAUGUUGCCAGCACGUAAUGGUGGGGACUCGUAAGGGACUGCCGGGGUCAACUCGGAGGAAGGUGGGGACGACGUCAAGUCAUCAUGCCCCUUAUGUCCAGGGCUUCACACAUGCUACUAUGGUCGGUACAGAGGGCUGCGAGACCGUGAGGUUAAGCGAAUCCCUUAAAGCCGGCCUCAGUUCGGAUUGGGGUCUGCAACUCGACCCCAUGAAGUCGGAGCCGCUAGUAAUCGCAGAUCAGCAACGCUGCGGUGAACACGUUCCCGGGCCUUGUACACACCG
Molecule: ribosomal RNA, 434 nt
Filed under: uncultured Rhodococcus sp.
Lineage: Bacteria; Bacillati; Actinomycetota; Actinomycetes; Mycobacteriales; Nocardiaceae
Description: bacterial SSU rRNA
Rfam family: Bacterial small subunit ribosomal RNA
Source: RNAcentral